Molecule: non-coding RNA, 45 nt
Organism: Schistosoma mansoni
Lineage: Eukaryota; Metazoa; Platyhelminthes; Trematoda; Strigeidida; Schistosomatidae
Source: Rfam
AUCCAGCUGACGAGUCUCAAAUAGGACGAAACGCUCGUCCUGGAU